RNAcentral lists this transfer RNA (61 nucleotides) under Eisenia nordenskioldi pallida. RNAcentral's name for it is "tRNA-Trp". The record is from RNAcentral. Lineage: Eukaryota; Metazoa; Annelida; Clitellata; Crassiclitellata; Lumbricidae.
AAGACUUUAAGUUAAGUAAACUAAAAACCUUCAAAGUUUUAAUUGGGUGUCCCAAGUCUUG